Armigeres subalbatus is the source of this 520-nucleotide long non-coding RNA. RefSeq lists it as uncharacterized. The record is from RefSeq and is a predicted model, not a curated record. The transcript has 3 exons. Lineage: Eukaryota; Metazoa; Arthropoda; Insecta; Diptera; Culicidae.
CGUUUGGCAGCAGAAAACAAAAAAAAUCAGGCGAGCCAACCUUACCAGCUUGAGGCCAGAAAACUUCCUCUUUCAUUCAACGUGUGUCCAGUGGUGAAGACGUUCUUUUCGUCCCUUCACUACCAAAACCCAAAAUGAGAGCUAAGUGGCGUAAGAAGCGUAUGCGAAGGCUGAAGCGUAAGCGCAGGAAGAUGCGUGCGAGGUCCAAGUAAAUUACUGGAUUCCCAGCGUCGUCUAUCCCUCGGUAACUAAGGAUAAGGACCCAACAUUGAAUAAAAACAGCCCAACCAUUGUCCUGUCGGUUGAAAACGCGUGGAGUCCGGCUGCCGACCGGAGGAAUUGGGAGUCCUCUUCCGCUGGUGGCGCCUUCGUGAAGCCGGUUUCCCAUCGUGUGCAUGCGGAGUGACGUGUGUUCAAUUGGACCUUUUAAAACGGUGAAAAUAUAAUGCCGCUACCCGGAUGCUAAAUCGGUGAUGCGAUUGAUGCUGAUGGGCAAUGAUGGGAGAAAAUUUAAGCAAAA